RNAcentral lists this ribosomal RNA (453 nucleotides) under uncultured Gemmataceae bacterium. Its description in RNAcentral is "bacterial SSU rRNA". It matches the Rfam family "Bacterial small subunit ribosomal RNA", at positions 337 to 798 of the family's 1533-position model. The record is from RNAcentral. Lineage: Bacteria; Pseudomonadati; Planctomycetota; Planctomycetia; Gemmatales; Gemmataceae.
ACCUACGGGAGGCAGCAGUCGAGGAUCUUCGGCAAUGGGCGCAAGCCUGACCGAGCGACGCCGCGUGCGCGAUGAAGGCCUUCGGGUUGUAAAGCGCUGUCGGGAGGGAGAAACCCCGCAAGGGUUGAUCGACCUCCGGAGGAAGCACGGGCUAAGUUCGUGCCAGCAGCCGCGGUAAGACGAACCGUGCGAACGUUGUUCGGAAUCACUGGGCUUAAAGGGCGCGUAGGCGGGCCUCCAAGUCCGGGGUGAAAGCCCCCAGCUCAACUGGGGAAGCGCCUUGGAUACUGGGGGCCGCGAGGGGGGUAGGGGCGCGCGGAACUUCCGGUGGAGCGGUGAAAUGCGUAGAUAUCGGAAGGAACACCGGUGGCGAAAGCGGCGCGCUGGGCCCCUUCUGACGCUGAGGCGCGAAAGCCAGGGGAGCAAACGGGAUUAGAUACCCCGGUAGUCUCG